AUGUAUCAAGAUAGCAGCCGGACAGCAUGGACCAGGUUUAUACCUGGGGACAGUAAAGAGCAUCAUAUCUUGGCAAAACCAAGCAAAACAGAUGUGGGUUCUAAUUCUUCCUCUACCACGUGGCCAAAUUGCUUCCAUUUACAUCAUCUAGAGACAGCAAGGAAGCGUGUGAUUCUCAUGCCUGGAUUUGUCAUGUUGGGGGACUUGGACAAGGCAAUUUCUUUCACAGAUAGCAGUUUCCCUAUUUGGGAAAUAAAGCAUCCACCCUUUAAUAUAACUAUAAACUCUUGAGAAUGACCUCCAGAAAGUUAUGGGCCAGAUGAUCCAAUCAUGGUAAGUAACCCCAAAUUUUGUAAUUCAAUCAAUGUCACGUUCCUUUUUUUUUUUUUUUUUUUUGUCUUUUCCAGGGCCGCACCCAUGGCAUAUGGAGGUUCCCAGGCUAGGAGUCUAAUCAGAGCUGUAGCUGCUGGCCUACGCCAGAGCCACAGCAAUGUGGGAUCCGAGCCGCAUCUGUGACCUACACCCCAACUCACAGCAGUGCCAGAUCCUCAACCCACUGAGCGAGGCCAGGGAUCAAACCCACAACCUCAUGGUUCCUAGUCAGAUUCGUUAACCACUGAGCACGACGGGAACUCCUCAAGUUCCUUCUUAAUAUAAAUGCUCUUUGGAUUUAUAUAACACUUGUUUUAAAACAAUGCUUGGGACUCUUUUUUUUUUUUUUUUUUUUUUUUUUUUUUCUUUUUAAGGCCUCAUCCAUGGCAUUUGGAAGUUCCCAGGCUAGGGAUCGAAUCAGAGCUGCAGCUGCCAGCCUACGCCACAGCCACAGCAAUUUGUGAUCUGAGCCUCGUCUGCCACAUACAUCACAGUUCACAGCAAUGCCAGGUCCUUAAUCUCCUGAGCGAGGCCAGGGAUGAACCUGCAUCCUCAUGGAUACUAGUCAGAUUUGUUUCUGCUGAGCCACAACGGGAACACCCCAGGGACUUUUGCACUUGGCCUCUCUCCUAGAAAGAGAGGUCUGUCCACAUCUUGGUUUACCAUUGACCACUCAUUUCUCUUUCCAGAGGGUAAUCGUUCCACAAAGUUCCUUUGGAGAACUGACUGCCAUUCUUAGCUAUGCAUUUUAUUUAUUUAUUUAUUUUAAAUUUAUUUUUAUUAGACUAUAGUUGAUUUACAGUGUUGUGCCAAUUUCUGCUGUACAGCAAAAGUGACCCAGUCAUACAUAUAUAUGUAUAUAUUAUUUUUGUCAUACUAAAAAAAUCCAUUAUGUUCUAUCCCAAGAGACUGUAUAUAGUUCCCUGUACUAUACAGUAGGACCUCAUUGCUAAUCCAUUCUAAAUGUAAUAGUUUGCAUCUACCAACCCAAACUCCCCAUCUAUCCCUCUUUGUCCCUCUACCCCCAACUCUGGCAACCACAAGUCUAUCUAUGUCUGUGAGUCUGUUUCUGUUUUGUAGAUAGGUUCAUUUGUGCCAUAUUUUAGAUUCCAUAUAUAAGUGAUAUUAUAUGGUAUUUGUCUUUCUUUUUCUGACUUAAUUCACUUAGUAUAAGAAUCUCUAGUUGCAUCCAUGUUGCUGCAAAUGCAUUAUUUUGUUCUUUUUAUGGCUGAGUAGUAUUUCAUUGUGUAUAUAUACCACAUCUUCUUAAUCCAUUCAGCUAUGCAUUUUAUUUAUUUAUUUAUUUUUAUCUUUUCAUCUUUUUUUCUAGGGCCACACUCAGGGCAUGUGGAGGUUCCCAGGCUAGGAGUCUAAUCGGAGCUGUUGCUGCCAGCCUAGGCCAGAGCCACAGCAACCCAGGAUCCGAGCUGCAUCUUCGACCUACACCACAGCUCACGGCAACGCCGGAUCCUUAACCCACUGAGCAAGGCCAGGGAUCGAACCUGUAACCUCAUGGUUCCUAGUCAGAUUUGUUAACCACUGUGCCAUGACGGGAACUCCUCAGCUACGCAUUUUAGGUAGGACUGACUCAUCUCUUAUUCCAGAGGUGGACUUUCCAGAGGUGGACUUUGAUAGGUGUGUGUUAAUCUAUGAAGCCUGUCUACCUAGCAACACAGUUGGUUUAGAAAUGGUCACGUGAUGCAGUUUAAGCCAAUGAGAAGCAAGGAGGCAUAUGCUGAGGUUCUGGGGAUGAAGGUAUCUCACAUUUUAAGGAAAGCUGAUGAGAGUGAAGUUCAUCCCAUCCCUGUUUAUAAAUAAAUAUGCAGACCUAAUGCUUCUGGCCA
RNAcentral lists this long non-coding RNA (2216 nucleotides) under Sus scrofa (pig). RNAcentral describes it as "lncRNA (ENSSSCG00055018883.1)". Lineage: Eukaryota; Metazoa; Chordata; Mammalia; Artiodactyla; Suidae. The record is from RNAcentral.